This 253-nucleotide ribosomal RNA is filed under the name uncultured bacterium. Its description in RNAcentral is "partial 16S ribosomal RNA". It matches the Rfam family "Bacterial small subunit ribosomal RNA", at positions 524 to 776 of the family's 1533-position model. The record is from RNAcentral.
UACGUAGGGAGCAAGCGUUGUCCGGAAUCAUUGGGCGUAAAGCGCGCGUAGGUGGCUUCGUAAGUCCGUUGUGAAGGCCAAAGGCUCAACCUUUGAAAGCCGAUGGAUACUGCGGAGCUAGAGUACGGAAGAGGCGAGUGGAAUUCCUGGUGUAGCGGUGGAAUGCGCAGAUAUCAGGAAGAACACCCGUGGCGAAAGCGGCUCUCUGGAACGGUACUGACGCUGAGACGCGAAAGCGUGGGGAGCGAACAGG